UUUUGGGCAAUGGGCGAAAGCCUGACCCAGCAACGCCGCGUGAGGGAUGAAGUAUUUCGGUAUGUAAACCUCGAAAGAAUGGGAAGAAUAAAUGACGGUACCAUUUAUAAGCUCCGGCUAACUACGUGCCAGCAGCCGCGGUAAUACGUAGGGAGCAAGCGUUGUUCGGAUUUACUGGGCGGAAAGGGCGCGUAGGCGGCGCGGUAAGUCACUUGUGAAAUCUCUGAGCUUAACUCAGAACGGCCAAGUGAUACUGCUGUGCUAGAGUGCGGAAGAGGCAACCGGAAUUCUUGGUGUGGCGGUGAAAUGCGUAGAUAUCAAGAGGAACACCUGAGGCGAAGGCGGGUUGCUGGGCCGACACUGACGCUGAUGCGCGAAAGCCAGGGGAGCAAACG
RNAcentral lists this ribosomal RNA (395 nucleotides) under uncultured bacterium. RNAcentral's name for it is "bacterial SSU rRNA". It matches the Rfam family "Bacterial small subunit ribosomal RNA", at positions 362 to 774 of the family's 1533-position model. The record is from RNAcentral.